Molecule: ribosomal RNA, 388 nt
Filed under: uncultured bacterium
Lineage: Bacteria
Description: bacterial SSU rRNA
Rfam family: Bacterial small subunit ribosomal RNA
Source: RNAcentral
AUUGAACGCUGGCGGAAUGCUUUACACAUGCAAGUCGAACGGCAGCACGGGGGCAACCCUGGUGGCGAGUGGCGAACGGGUGAGUAAUACAUCGGAACGUGCCCAGUCGUGGGGGGAUAACUACGCGAAAGCGUAGCUAAUACCGCAUACGAUCUACGGAUGAAAGCGGGGGAUCGCAAGACCUCGCGCGAUUGGAGCGGCCGAUGGCAGAUUAGGUAGUUGGUGGGGUAAAGGCNCACCAAGCCGACGAUCUGUAGCUGGUCUGAGAGGACGACCAGCCACACUGGGACUGAGACACGGCCCAGACUCCUACGGGAGGCAGCAGUGGGGAAUUUUGGACAAUGGGCGCAAGCCUGAUCCAGCCAUUCCGCGUGCAGGAUGAAGGCCC